UACGUAGGGGGCUAGCGUUGUCCGGAAUCAUUGGGCGUAAAGAGCGCGUAGGCGGCCAGAUAAGUCCGGUGUGAAAGUCACAGGCUCAACCUGUGAAUGCCGCUGGAAACUGUCUGGCUAGAGUCCGGGAGGGGCGAGUGGAAUUCCUGGUGUAGCGGUGAAAUGCGCAGAUAUCAGGAGGAACACCAAUGGCGAAGGCAGCUCGCUGGAACGGAACUGACGCUGAGGCGCGAAAGCGUGGGGAGCGAACAGG
Molecule: ribosomal RNA, 253 nt
Filed under: uncultured bacterium
Lineage: Bacteria
Description: partial 16S ribosomal RNA
Rfam family: Bacterial small subunit ribosomal RNA
Source: RNAcentral